This 425-nucleotide ribosomal RNA is filed under the name uncultured bacterium. Its description in RNAcentral is "partial 16S ribosomal RNA". It matches the Rfam family "Bacterial small subunit ribosomal RNA", at positions 354 to 796 of the family's 1533-position model. The record is from RNAcentral.
GUGGGGAAUAUUGGACAAUGGGCGCAAGCCUGAUCCAGCCAUGCCGCGUGAGUGAUGAAGGCCCUAGGGUUGUAAAGCUCUUUCAGUGGGGACGAUAAUGACGGUACCCACAGAAGAAGCCCCGGCUAACUUCGUGCCAGCAGCCGCGGUAAUACGAAGGGGGCUAGCGUUGUUCGGAUUUACUGGGCGUAAAGCGCACGUAGGCGGAUCGUUAAGUCGAGGGUGAAAUCCUGGAGCUAAACUCCAGAACUGCCUUCGAUACUGGCGAUCUUGAGUCCGGAAGAGGUGAGUGGAACUCCUAGUGUAGAGGUGGAAUUCGUAGAUAUUAGGAAGAACACCAGUGGCGAAGGCGGCUCACUGGUCUGGUACUGACGCUGAGGUGCGAAAGCGUGGGGAGCAAACAGGAUUAGAUACCCCUGUAGUCC